UACGUAGGGUGCAAGCGUUAAUCGGAAUUACUGGGCGUAAAGCGUGCGCAGGCGGCUUUGCAAGACAGAUGUGAAAUGCCCGGGCUUAACCUGGGAACUGCAUUUGUGACUGCAAGGCUAGAGUUUGGCAGAGGGGGGUAGAAUUCCACGUGUAGCAGUGAAAUGCGUAGAUAUGUGGAGGAAUACCGAUGGCGAAGGCAGCCCCCUGGGUCAAGACUGACGCUCAUGCACGAAAGCGUGGGGAGCAAACAGG
RNAcentral lists this ribosomal RNA (253 nucleotides) under uncultured bacterium. RNAcentral describes it as "partial 16S ribosomal RNA". It matches the Rfam family "Bacterial small subunit ribosomal RNA", at positions 524 to 776 of the family's 1533-position model. The record is from RNAcentral.